Molecule: non-coding RNA, 96 nt
Filed under: Clostridium sp.
Lineage: Bacteria; Bacillati; Bacillota; Clostridia; Eubacteriales; Clostridiaceae
Also listed under: 1 other name
Description: Guanine sequence
Rfam family: Purine riboswitch aptamer
About the family: Riboswitches are metabolite binding domains within certain messenger RNAs that serve as precision sensors for their corresponding targets.
Source: RNAcentral
UCUAUGAUAUGAUUUCAGUGUUAUAUAGGUUUGUAAUUGGUCAAACGUUUCUACGAACUACCGUAAUAGUUUACUAUAACAAUUAUGGUAGUUUUU